RNAcentral lists this transfer RNA (79 nucleotides) under Sphaerodactylus townsendi. RNAcentral's name for it is "tRNA-Ala". The record is from RNAcentral. Lineage: Eukaryota; Metazoa; Chordata; Lepidosauria; Squamata; Sphaerodactylidae.
GACUGGAUCGUGGCCUAGAGGCACAGCGUCGGCUUGGCAUGCGGAAGAUUCCAGGUUCAAUUUCUGGUUUCUCCAGUUA